Molecule: ribosomal RNA, 253 nt
Filed under: uncultured bacterium
Lineage: Bacteria
Description: partial 16S ribosomal RNA
Rfam family: Bacterial small subunit ribosomal RNA
Source: RNAcentral
UACAGAGGUGGCAAGCGUUGUUCGGAAUUACUGGGCGUAAAGGGCGCGUAGGCGGCCGCCUAAGUCAGACGUGAAAUCCCCAGGCUUAACUUGGGAACUGCGUCUGAUACUGGGUGGCUUGAGUUCGGGAGAGGAAUGUGGAAUUCCAGGUGUAGCGGUGAAAUGCGUAGAUAUCUGGAGGAACACCAGCGGCGAAGGCGGCGCUCUGGGCCGGAACUGACGCUGAGGAGCGAAAGCGUGGGGAGCAAACAGG